Molecule: long non-coding RNA, 895 nt
Organism: Nerophis lumbriciformis (worm pipefish)
Lineage: Eukaryota; Metazoa; Chordata; Actinopteri; Syngnathiformes; Syngnathidae
Source: RefSeq, a predicted model, not a curated record
CUUGGUUGCGUACUUUCUCUUCUUGUCACUCAGGUGCGGGCCGAUAAUGAAAACCUCCACAAAAGGUCGAAAUAUUCCCUGCGUCUGCCACCUCAGGUCGUUGGCGGCCACCACUGUCACCCAGAGAGAAAGAGGCAGACAGAGGGGAAGCCUGCGGUCGGCGAUCACGCUCCACUUCACACGUUGGAAAAAAAUGGAGGAAUGACCUUACCUUUCACGGUGACCUUGUGCUCGCCAGUGUUGGGGUGAGUGAAGAUUUCCACGUGGAUGGACACCUCUCCCACAGCAUCGUCCACCCCAGAUCCUGGUGGGGCACAAGACACACACACACAGUUGGCAAAUGACUCCUCUUUCAGGCGACCAAACACAAACACAAAGCUGCUUCAAGUUUCCUCUUCCAAGUCCGAGGCAAAAAGCAGGGUGCAACAUUUUUGGUGAGGCGGAGCUCAUGGUGCCCAAAACCAGACUUAAAACCAGAGGAGACAGGGCCUUCUCUGUGUUCGGCCCUAAGCUCUGGAACACUCUGCCCCUCCAUGUUCCAACUGAUUCCACAGUGGACUGUUUUAAGUCUCGUCUUAAGACCCACUUUUAUUCUUUGGCUUUUAACACUACAUGAGUUGUGUGGUCCUCUAUCCACUGUGUUUUUUUUAAAAUAAGUUUUGAUUUCUAUUUACUGUUUUAAUUGUUUUUUCCCUUUAAAAUCUUUUUUAAUCAUAUUUAUUUUUAUAUUGUUUUUAUAUUGGUUCUAUGUUUUUAAUAUUGUUGUGCAGCACUUUGGAAACAUUUUUGUUGUUUAAAUGUGCUAUAUAAAUAAAGUGGAUUGGAUUGGAUUGUCACUUGCUGCACUACACUACUAGUCACUUCUGUGCGGGCCUUUUCUUUGUUGUUUCGCCUU